GACGAACGCUGGCGGCGUGCUUAACACAUGCAAGUCGAGCGGUAAGGCCCUUUCGGGGGUACACGAGCGGCGAACGGGUGAGUAACACGUGGGUGACCUGCCCUCAGCUCUGGGAUAAGCCUGGGAAACCGGGUCUAAAUACCGGAUAUGACUCCAUGACGCAUGUUGUGGGGUGGAAAGCCUUGUGCGGCUGAGGAUGGGCCCGCGGCCUAUCAGCUUGUUGGUGGGGUGAUGGCCUACCAAGGCGACGACGGGUAGCCGGCCUGAGAGGGCGACCGGCCACACUGGGACUGAGACACGGCCCAGACUCCUACGGGAGGCAGCAGUGGGGAAUCUUGCGCAAUGGGCGAAAGCCUGACGCAGCGACGCCGCGUGA
RNAcentral lists this ribosomal RNA (376 nucleotides) under uncultured bacterium. RNAcentral describes it as "bacterial SSU rRNA". It matches the Rfam family "Bacterial small subunit ribosomal RNA", at positions 28 to 404 of the family's 1533-position model. The record is from RNAcentral.